CCUACGGGAGGCAGCAGUAGGGAAUUUUCGGCAAUGGACGGAAGUCUGACCGAGCAACGCCGCGUGAAUGAUGAAGUAUUUCGGUAUGUAAAGUUCUUUUAUUUGGGAAGAAAAAACAAAUUGACGGUACCAAAUGAAUAAGCCCCGGCUAACUACGUGCCAGCAGCCGCGGUAAUACGUAGGGGGCAAGCGUUAUCCGGAAUUAUUGGGCGUAAAGGGUGCGUAGGCGGGUUAUCAAGUCUUUGGUUAAAAUGCGGUGCUCAACGCCGUAGUGCCAAAGAAACUGAUAGUCUAGAGUAUGGUAGAAGUGAGUGGAACUCCAUGUGUAGCGGUAAAAUGCGUAAAUAUAUGGAAGAACACCAGUGGCGAAGGCGGCUCACUAGGCCAAUACUGACGCUGAGACACGAAAGCGUGGGGAGCAAACAGGAUUAGAUACCCUAGUAGUC
This 446-nucleotide ribosomal RNA is filed under the name Acinetobacter baumannii. RNAcentral describes it as "bacterial SSU rRNA". It matches the Rfam family "Bacterial small subunit ribosomal RNA", at positions 338 to 795 of the family's 1533-position model. The record is from RNAcentral. Lineage: Bacteria; Pseudomonadati; Pseudomonadota; Gammaproteobacteria; Moraxellales; Moraxellaceae.